GUGGAGCAGCACGGUAGCUCGUCGGGCUCAUAACCCGAAAGGUCGUCGGUUCAAAUCCAUUUACAACCA
This 69-nucleotide transfer RNA is filed under the name Salmonella enterica subsp. enterica. RNAcentral's name for it is "tRNA-Met". It matches the Rfam family "tRNA". From Rfam's summary of the family: Transfer RNA (tRNA) molecules are approximately 80 nucleotides in length. Their secondary structure includes four short double-helical elements and three loops (D, anti-codon, and T loops). Further hydrogen bonds mediate the characteristic L-shaped molecular structure. tRNAs have two regions of fundamental functional importance: the anti-codon, which is responsible for specific mRNA codon recognition, and the 3' end, to which the tRNAs corresponding amino acid is attached (by aminoacyl-tRNA synthetases). tRNAs cope with the degeneracy of the genetic code in two manners: having more than one tRNA (with a specific anti-codon) for a particular amino acid; and 'wobble' base-pairing, i.e. permitting non-standard base-pairing at the 3rd anti-codon position. Lineage: Bacteria; Pseudomonadati; Pseudomonadota; Gammaproteobacteria; Enterobacterales; Enterobacteriaceae. The record is from RNAcentral.